UGGGGAAUAUUGCACAAUGGGCGCAAGCCUGAUGCAGCCAUGCCGCGUGUGUGAAGAAGGCCUUCGGGUUGUAAAGCACUUUCAGCGAGGAGGAAGGGUAGUGUGUUAAUAGCUCAUUGCAUUGACGUUACUCGCAGAAGAAGCACCGGCUAACUCCGUGCCAGCAGCCGCGGUAAUACGGAGGGUGCAAGCGUUAAUCGGAAUUACUGGGCGUAAAGCGCACGCAGGCGGUUUGUUAAGUCAGAUGUGAAAUCCCCGCGCUUAACGUGGGAACUGCAUUUGAAACUGGCAAGCUAGAGUCUUGUAGAGGGGGGUAGAAUUCCAGGUGUAGCGGUGAAAUGCGUAGAGAUCUGGAGGAAUACCGGUGGCGAAGGCGGCCCCCUGGACAAAGACUGACGCUCAGGUGCGAAAGCGUGGGGAGCAAACA
RNAcentral lists this ribosomal RNA (427 nucleotides) under uncultured bacterium. RNAcentral's name for it is "partial 16S ribosomal RNA". It matches the Rfam family "Bacterial small subunit ribosomal RNA", at positions 355 to 774 of the family's 1533-position model. The record is from RNAcentral.